CACAGCGCCAGGGCAAUGCACAGCGCCAGGCACAGCACAGCUUCAGCGCAGCCUGGCCAGGAAGGGAAUGCUCCCAUGGAGUGCAGGAGUCAGCUGGUUGGAUUCCCAGUCCUGUGCUGAGCUGGCAGGGCACAGAGCCUCCUCAAGCACCGCUGCCUCCUCUCCAGGCUUCCUGCACUUCCUUUGCUGACAGGGUCCCAUCAGCCAGGGUGGGGGCAGGCUCAGCUGAUAUUACAAAGCACAAAGAUUUUUACAAAGGUUUCUUCAAAUCCCAAGAUGUUGUCUUGAGCUAAGAGGCUUUGGCUCUUUUUAUUCCAGAAUAAUGUAUCCAGGAUUUUACCCUGUCUGUUUCAAUGCAGCAAUAUUGUCUGCAGAACUUGGGAAGGUCCUGCUUUGGCUGCAGCAGAGCAGUUUCCCCAGCCUUUCAAGUACACCCAAGCUCUUGGUUGGAACUUGUGCACUGCUAUGUCCAGUCCUGUUGGUCUGGAGAUCGCCACUGCUCGCUGUAAGUCCUGUAAAGUUUUGCUAAGAGAAAUGAGGUAAUUAUUCAAAUCAACCUCUCCUUAUAUGUGUGUGUUUCCUGAAAUGUGUGGUACUUGGUAGGGUCAACCAUACAGCAGCUUACAGGGCCAGAUUUUGCUGGUGCCCCAUGUCUGAAUCCUGAUUCAAAGCAGAGCCACGGGUAAGGCUUGAACCAUGUCAAGGAGGUUUCCUGACAUAUUUUACCCAAGUUCAGUUGGAUUAUGUAAUUCAUUCUCUCUCCUUUGCCACUAGCUUGCGGUCUGUAAGGAGCAUGAAGACCCCAAGCUAUUCCCAAGGCUUUCCUAACCUCUUGUACCCCUUCUGCAAGAAAGUGGGAACCUCUAUCUAUGACAUUCCCAAAGGUACCCCAAAUCUAGGUAUUAUUUGAUUCAACAGUAUUUCAGCCACUUCCCUAGACUGGUUGAUAUGACAAGGGAAGUCUUCUGGCCACCCAGAAAAGGUAUCCACCAGAACUAGGAGGGAUUGAUACCCCCAUUUUCUGGGAAAUUGAGUGAAAUCCAUCAGGCACUAUUCCCUUGGAACACCUCCAGAUUUUAUGGCUCUUAGCACUACAUUAUGAGCUGUGCUACAGUUGUCUCUUUUACAAACUAUACAUUUUAGAGUCUUGGUUGUACAAUCUGAGCCAUUUCAGACCCAGCUAAAGUUUUUUGCAAAUGUUUCCAAAGUUUUUCAGUACUCCAACGAGUGGCUUUGUGUUUGCAAUCCAUUUUUUCACACAAGAGUGAUUCUGGGACUACUCUUUGCCCAGCUGGGAUAACUGCCCAGCCUUGUGGAUCAAAUCACGCUUCUACAGUUUCAAUUAAUUGACAGUCCCUAGCAUUAUACUCUGGUUUUUCUACUGGGAGAGGUAUCUCUGGCAAGGGUAUUAAAGAUAAAGCUUUGUUUUCUAACAUGUCUUUUUCUGCAGCCUCGUUGGCUAAAUGUUUCCCCAAUUCCAGUUUGGUCUUAUCCACUUGGUGUCCUCUGCAAUGCCUGAUGGCAAUUUCCUCUGGUUUCUGGAUACUUUCAAGUGUACCCAAGAUUUGUUUUCCAUUUUUGAUUGAUGUGCCUUGAGAGGUCAAAAGGUCCCUUUCUUUCCAGAAAUCCCAUGUGCCUGUAGCACUCCAAAGGUGUAUAAUGAAUCAGUUCAAAUGUUAACUCAUUUUGCUCUACUCAGUUCCAAAGCUCAGGUGACUGAAAUUAGUUCUACCUUCUGGGCUGGAACAUCAGAGGGGAGUGCCCCCGAUUGGAUUACCUCGGGCUGUGGAGUCACUGUGUAUCCAGAUGUUUGGAUAGGAAGAUUGAGGGCAUGGUCCUGUGAGAGAGCAGCUGCUCCUGCUGCCCGCUCUGCCUUUGGCAUCUGAUAUGCUGCAGGUGUGGCAGCUGCAGCAGGAUUUCCUGUGGGAAGAGGCAGCACUGCUGCCAUGGCCCUCAGACUGCAGGGGCCCUUGGCUGUGCCCCCAGCACAGGAGUGUCACCCACGGGGGGGCACAAGGGGAAGGGGAAAGGGCAUUAGGAGGGAGAGAAACCAGUGUCUAGGGAGUGUGUGAGGGAAAUAACAAUUGAUUUCCUUUUCCUUGAGUAAAGAGUUGCAAGAGCCCUGCUAGAGCUGCUGGUGGCUUGGCCUCUUGCAGGGCUGGGGAGAGCCCUGGGGCCAGGGCCCCUCCUCUUUUUGGGACACCAGGUCUAGCUGGGCAAGUGGCCCCUGUUCCAGCCAGGAGCAGAGGUGCUGUGCCUUCUGCCCUGGGCACAGGGACCUGCCACUGUCACCAGCUCUUUCCACAGCUCGUCCUGAUGCUGGGCCUGCCCUGAAGGGAUGGGCACAGGAGGGGAGUGGCUGUGAAACCCAGGGCGGGGCUUUCACAUUGCCUGCUCUCAGUGAGUGUCUGGAAAUGACAGUUUUCCAUCUUCUGCCAACCAAGGCUGCCAGUGUUUCUGUGUUUGUAUUGAUGAGAAGGGUAGAGUGUGGGUUUGUGGUUUCAUGGAGAGCAAAGCAGUGUCUGAAUUCAAUUGAUUUCAAUUUUUUCUUUCAUGGUAUUUUGUCUGUGAAAAGUCUGAAAAUCAAGGACAUCUUUCUGGAAUCUGCUGUCUGUGACCUCAAUACUGGCCGAGUGACCCUUCAGAACCUUGACCUGACUAAGCGAGCGCAUGAACUCUUUUAGGUCUUUUUAGAGGGAGAAAAUAAACCAAACCCAAACCUGUUUUCUGAAUCUUUGGAAAAUCUGACUUAUCCAAGACAGUAUCAUUUGGAAUGUACAGAUCUUCUGUUCAUCAUUCAUUCAGGUGCCUGUGAAGCCAGAGCAGCAAUGCUCUCUUCAAAGAUUUAACACAGCUGAUUGACAUCAAGUCGCUUGAAAUUUUGGCCUCAACUUUCAGUGAUAUUUUGAAUAUGACAAUUUCCGUUUCAGGGAGGAGCAGAAUGCAUUUGCACAGUUCCAUUAUGGUUUGUUUUUUUUUUUUUCAACACACAGAUUCUCUCAUUUCCCCUUCUGUAGCCUUAAGCAUUAAAGUCAACCAUCUGCUUUGGAAAUGCAGCUGAAAUGUAGCUCUUUCUGCUAUUUUGCUUAACUUUUUUUUAGGGGCUGAAAAUAUUCAGUUGUAAUUUGCUUUACAUUCUUUGUAUUAUUUGCCACUGUGGCAUUGGAAAAAUUCACAGGAGUUUCUCCCAUCUUGGAUUUCAAAAUAAUUUAAAAUAUUAUUAUAAAGACGAUUUGGCAAUAUUUAAUUUUUGCUUCCUGUGUAACCUUAUUAAAUCUGUGCUUUAAAACAGGUGUCACCUAGCAGGCUUUCUGUUCAAUGACAGCAGUUGCUUUUCAGCAGGCUGAUUUUCCUGUAGGACUAGCCAAGGAAAGUACCUUAGGAAACUGAGUUUUCCACAUUGUUGCAGUGUAGGAAUGGUAUUCCCUAGUUGAGUGCUCACACUGAUACCCCUCAGAGCACGUGCCCCUCACUGACUUCCCCACCACUUUCCCUGUGGCAGGAUGGAGAGAAGAGCACAAAUAGGUAAAGAUCAUGGGUUGAGAUCAGAACAAUUUACUAGAAACAGCAGUGAAAAAAGAACACAGACGGUCAUAACAGCACUAAAAGGAGAGUGUACCAGAGGCGAACGAGUCACACGUGAUCGUUCUCCACACAGAACUUGGCACAGCCCGUGACUUACAGCACACAGGUGGAGGAAGAACAAACCCUUCCAUUUGCCCCUGCCACGUGGCAGGUGGUAUCCAGUUACCCCAAGGUCCUGGCCGUGCUCCUCCGAGCUGCUGCAAAGAUCACCCUCCUGGCUGGAUCCAGGACACAGGAUCCUUCCUGCGGGUCCUGGCUCUUGCUCUGGGUGACAGACCCCCAUGGCAUCUGCCCCGGCAAAAGGGACUUGAGGACAACCUCUCACUUACUGACAUCAGCCCCUCUGCCCCUGCCCCAGCUCCCUUUUUGCCUCCAGAAAACUUUGAACAGAAGUAGCACUUAAGUACAGUUCUGCACAUCCUGAACUGGCAGGAAGGUGACCCACAUGUCGCUGUAGGCACAUGUGCAGCAAGGACAAAGAAAGUGUUUGAGGGGCUGGCUCUCAAGGCAUUCACUCAUGCAAUAGGAGCCCUGUUUCUGAGAGGCACAGCCAAGAGUGGAGCAGUCAGGUGUGGAGAACGGGGGAUCUCCUGAGCCAGGGAAACCCUGGGGGAGCAGAGAGACGCAGACACCGGGCAGACCCCAAGUGACACCUGCUGCUGGGGCACAGGCACCGCGGGGACACGCACACUUUGGGAAACGGCCUCUGGCUUCUGACUUUCUCAAUCCUGUGAUGGGCAAGAAGCAGAGGAUUGACCAAGAGCCCAGUGAUGUCCAGCCAGCAGCUGGUGGCCACUCUCCUUCUUUCUUGGACCUGCCUUCCACAUCCUGUUCAAUUUUGAACAUGUCUACAAAUGUCAGAUCCAUUUCCACUUCCACCCCUGAAGAACAACAGAAAAAUAAGGUUCAGACACAUUCUGGAUUGCCAGUGUCUGCCAGGGUGCAGGGGAAGACUCUCAAGUCCAAGGGAGAAGAAGCAGAGGUCAGAGGAGCCCAACAAAACAAUCCAGGUCCUGUGCCUGAGAAGAAGAGGAUGGUGCCUGUGAGACUUGCAGACAUCGACUGGAGCGGCUGCGCUGCUGUUUACGGCCGACCCUACAGGGACAGGGUGAUUCAUCUGCUUGCUCUGAGGGAUUACAAGGAGCCAGAGUUACUUGCUCGGCUGCAGAGAGAUGGAGUCAGGCCAAAGGACAAGGACUCCCUUGGAAAGAUCCUUCAGCAGGUGAGAUCAUGGAGCUUGUGCCAGCAAUUCGUCCAUUAUGCUGUUUUGCUGUUCCUAAUUUUACUACUUCCUCACCUGUUCAAAUUAGAGACUUUUCCAAUACUCCUUCAAGAUAAGUUCCACUGGUAUUUCUUUCUGAUAGGCUUUCGUCAGAGGCACACCCAUGGAAAGAUGCAGUAGCUCCUUCUUUCAUUUUUAAAUAUUCCCCAUGCACCUAAGCUGUUGCUGAAUUAUGCAAGCAUUAUUAUAUUAAAUAGGAUUAUUUCCUCUUUAGCUAAGAAAAAGAGUUUUGGAGCCUAGGCAAAGGAUUCAAAUUCAACGUGGAUACAGUUUCAGUUGUUCACAGGAUGACUUUUAAGAACUCAUUCUCUGAACCUGUGAAGUUUGUUGCUGUGUUUGCCCAGGGCAGUGGCAGAGCUUUUUCACCCUGCAGACAUUCACAACAUGAUGAGAGCCAUGUUCUGUCAUCCCAGCUGAAGUAGCUCCUUUAGAUUUCUGUAGUUUGCAUAUAGGUGUAAUGAAGAUUUGUUUUCCUGAACAUCUGCCUGUAGGUAGCCAACCUGAAUGCAAAGGAGAAUUCCUUCAGUCUGAAAGAACAGCUAUUUCAAACCCUUCAGACUGAUUGGCUGGCUACAGUAAAAUCGAAAGAAAGAGUUUGAAGUUAAUACUUUCUAGGUAAGUUCAGUCUCUUGGGGAAGGAAAAGAGCCUUUUCAGAAAAAAGCCCUGGAAAUAAAGCCUAGAUUCUUACAAUAUGCUGCACCAGCAGAGGCCCACCAGGGUCAUGGAAUCCAACUCCUGGCCCUGCACAGACACCAUGAGAAUCACACCCUGUGCCCAAGAGAGUUGUCCAAACUGUUCUUGAGCUCUUGCUGCAGUGACCACUGGCCUGGGGAGCCUGUUGCAGUGCUCGAGCACCCUCUGGGCCAUGAAUGUUUUCAUGAUAUCCUGCCUAAAGCUCCCUCAACUCUGCUUCAUGUUUUUCCCUUGAGUCCUGACACUGAAGGUCUGUUUUCCCUGCAAGGAAAGAACUAUGACAGUUGAUAUUUAGACUUUUUAACAUGAACUCUUGGACCAUCCAUAGAAAAUCAGCUCCAUCUCAGAACCCCACCAGCAGCAGCCAAGCGACAUCUCCAAGGCCUUCUGAGACAGAUGCUCCAGCAAGACCUGCUCAGAAACGGCCUCGAGCUUCUGGCUUUAUCAGUCCUGUGAGGAGCAAGAAACAGAGAACUGAGCAGUAGCCCAGUUACAUCCAGGCAGCAGCUGGUGGCUGCUCUUCUUCCUGAGUGCUGGCUUUGACAUCCCAUUCUACAGGGAUGUCAGAGCCAUCCCCAUGGAAUGGGAUGUCAAAGCCAGCACCCUGCCUCCAAGUCUGGGAUCCAUUCCCCUGCACCCUUUAGGUUCAAAAAAAGACAAAUGUUGGAGUUCUAGAAUGCCAGCACUCAUGUGUAGAGGACUAGCAUGUCCAAAAAGAUGUGAAGAGAACUGGGGAGGCUGAAGCAGUAGUGUCCCUUGGAUUUCAAUGAAGGAUAGCCCCAGCUACUCCGAGAUGAACAGCAGGUGCCAGUGGCUCCACAAAAAGCUGUCCCACAUUCAGCAAUGAAUAUCUGAAUUUGGCAAGCAGCAAGUCCUGGAGUCCUGGCACCAGUCUUCUGCUUCAGCAAAGGAACAUCUAUGAGCUCCAGCUGUUUUAUUUUAAAAGAAAAUUAUGUUUUUACGUUUCCUCAAGUUAGUAAUAAGGAGAUGAUUAUUUGUUAAAAAUGUAGGAUUAGUUAGUCUAAGAUUAGAGAAUUUAGUCUUGAACUUUAGCAAUAAAAAAGUUGCAUUUCCGUUAA
Molecule: long non-coding RNA, 6640 nt
Organism: Passer domesticus (house sparrow)
Lineage: Eukaryota; Metazoa; Chordata; Aves; Passeriformes; Passeridae
Exons: 5
Source: RefSeq, a predicted model, not a curated record